UAAAUGAGAAUACUUGGUGUGAAUUGCAGAAUCCCGUGACCCAUAGAGUCUUUGACGCAGUUGCGCCCGAAGCCAGUAGGUUGAGGGCACGUCUGCCUGGGUGUCA
Molecule: ribosomal RNA, 106 nt
Filed under: Meeboldia yunnanensis
Lineage: Eukaryota; Viridiplantae; Streptophyta; Magnoliopsida; Apiales; Apiaceae
Description: partial 5.8S ribosomal RNA
Rfam family: 5.8S ribosomal RNA
About the family: 5.8S ribosomal RNA (5.8S rRNA) is a component of the large subunit of the eukaryotic ribosome. It is transcribed by RNA polymerase I as part of the 45S precursor that also contains 18S and 28S rRNA.
Source: RNAcentral